GAUGUGUAUCAAGGUGGCUGACUACUGACUACCCUUCACUUUGAAAGACACUGUCUACGGGAGGUUAUAGAGGGCUAAUUUAGUCUGUUCGCGGGAGCUGAGCCUGACACUUCAGCCUUUACUUCCUUUGCAACCCAAGACUGAGACCGUGCAUUAUUCAGGUGUGAAUCUCAAAGAGAAUUUUGCUCUACUACAUAUCUGUUAGCCUACUUUCUCUAUACAGUGAAAAAUAAUGUCACACUAAAAAAA
Molecule: long non-coding RNA, 249 nt
Organism: Corapipo altera (White-ruffed manakin)
Lineage: Eukaryota; Metazoa; Chordata; Aves; Passeriformes; Pipridae
Exons: 3
Source: RefSeq, a predicted model, not a curated record